GCCGAAGUGGCGGAACGGCAGACGCGCUACGUUCAGGGCGUAGUGCCCCUUGCGGGCGUGGGAGUUCAAAUCUCCCCUUCGGCACCA
RNAcentral lists this transfer RNA (87 nucleotides) under Dehalococcoidia bacterium. RNAcentral's name for it is "tRNA-Leu". It matches the Rfam family "tRNA". Rfam says of the family: Transfer RNA (tRNA) molecules are approximately 80 nucleotides in length. Their secondary structure includes four short double-helical elements and three loops (D, anti-codon, and T loops). Further hydrogen bonds mediate the characteristic L-shaped molecular structure. tRNAs have two regions of fundamental functional importance: the anti-codon, which is responsible for specific mRNA codon recognition, and the 3' end, to which the tRNAs corresponding amino acid is attached (by aminoacyl-tRNA synthetases). tRNAs cope with the degeneracy of the genetic code in two manners: having more than one tRNA (with a specific anti-codon) for a particular amino acid; and 'wobble' base-pairing, i.e. permitting non-standard base-pairing at the 3rd anti-codon position. Lineage: Bacteria; Bacillati; Chloroflexota; Dehalococcoidia. The record is from RNAcentral.